This 450-nucleotide ribosomal RNA is filed under the name uncultured bacterium. Its description in RNAcentral is "partial 16S ribosomal RNA". It matches the Rfam family "Bacterial small subunit ribosomal RNA", at positions 354 to 796 of the family's 1533-position model. The record is from RNAcentral.
GUGGGGAAUCUUCCGCAAUGGACGAAAGUCUGACGGAGCAACGCCGCGUGAGUGAAGAAGGUUUUCGGAUCGUAAAGCUCUUUCGUUAGGGACGAACGUGCUCUUUGUGAAUAAUGAGGAGUAAUGACGGUACCUAAAUAAGAAGCCACGGCUAACUACGUGCCAGCAGCCGCGGUAAUACGUAGGUGGCAAGCGUUGUCCGGAAUUAUUGGGCGUAAAGCGCGCGCAGGCGGGAUAUCAAGUCUGUCUUAAAAGUGCGAGGCUCAACCUCGUGAGGGGACAGAAACUGGUAUUCUUGAGUGUCGGAGAGGAAAGUGGAAUUCCAAGUGUAGCGGUGAAAUGCGUAGAGAUUUGGAAGAACACCAGUGGCGAAGGCGACUUUCUGGACGAUGUCUGACGCUGAGGCGCGAAAGCUAGGGGAGCGAACGGGAUUAGAAACCCUAGUAGUUC